RNAcentral lists this long non-coding RNA (4740 nucleotides) under Ooceraea biroi (clonal raider ant). RNAcentral describes it as "uncharacterized LOC113562147". The record is from RNAcentral. Lineage: Eukaryota; Metazoa; Arthropoda; Insecta; Hymenoptera; Formicidae.
UUCUUAGUAAAAAAAGAAUUUCUUGAUAUUUUCCGACUGAUUAUAAUGUACAAUAUUGCGUGUCUAGCAGACGAUGCAAACGCCGCUUAAACCGUUAAUGCAGCCGCAACGGCGAGAAGAAGGAAGUAGCGGAUUGAUCGUCCGAUUGCACCACGAGGGAAUCAACUGAGAUGAGGCUGCCGGUGAAACUCGACCGUAGUCUGGCCGACCUCCGCAAAGGUUGCAUUUCUGCAUCGAGGAAAGUGCGGCCCGAUGAAGUGCAAGCGGACGCAGAUUCGUCGUGCUGCAUACCUGAAACGUGUUGCACUACUCUUUUGGAUGGACUCUGCCACGGUGAAAAGAUUCCCCGCGUCGCUGAUUAUUGCUUCUUAGGGAUGCUCCAGCCGCCGUUCGUGCACUUUCUCCGAUGUUAGUAUUAGAAGGUGAGCGAGAAGAACAAAGUCACGAUAUUGAGGUGCCGAUGGUUUUCGAACGCAAUUGAGAUCUAAAUUAAAAUAGAAAAUUUCAGUUUAUGUUUAUGGAAAUCAAAAAAGAGACUUUAAUUGAAUUAAAUUUUUUAAGUCUGUGUUUUAGCAAAUUUGGAUUCUAAUUUCACAAGGAUAAUUUUUUAAUCGUUUUUAUGUUAUUACGACAUGUUUAAAUUAUUUUAUUUGUAUACGAGAUAUCUCUAUUCAGAAUCUUAAAAGAAUUUACUUCUCUCUCUUCCCCUCCAUAUACAUUCCUAACUAUUUACGGAAUGUGUGACAAAUGUUUCGACAUAAUUUUAGCAGACAGUGUCGGAAAUAAAUAACAAAUAGGACACGUCGGCGCCAAAUCGGCCCCCUGGAAUCCGACAAGUUUCGUUGAAUAUUUAUUAGACCCAGCAUAUGUCACAAAACAAGGUGCUUGUAAUUGAGUUGUAGCCACAUUUUUCUUAUUCACACUGUAUUUCACGAGCGAUAUCUCUUCUACUAUGCAAUUCGUGUAAGAUUUCUUAUAAAUUAACCACUGUGUAGAUAAAUCCUUUUACAUAACGAUUCUCUUCGUUACAUACCAGGGUGAGAAAAUUCUAAAAAUAGAAAAAUCUAUUUAUAUUACUAAAUCCAAUUUUAUUUUAAAAAGUAAAACAUUUGAAUAAAAAUUCUUUAUUAUAAACUUAUGUCUUUUUGGAUUUAACAUUUUUUCUUUAUCAUUUCUAUCAAGUAUGCAAGACUGACUUUGCACUCACUGAAAUCAACCUCAUGUUCCCUCUUUGUGUCUUACCUCUCUCGAAAAAGGAACACCCGAUGCAUAAUAAAAUAUUGCGCAUGGAGUUUUGUAACAUGGCGUGCUUGCUGGACAUUGUAAUUUUUGCAAUCUGGAUUACCGUUGCGUCGAGGGAGAACAUCCUCACUUGUGCAAGAGAGUCCAGCUAAACGUAGACCUGCUCCGUUUCCCCCGGGCAAUUUUGCGUAAUCAUAGAGCAAGUACCUGCCGCAUCUGACUUGAACGCCGUUAACGACUGCUCCACUCUAAUAAACGAGUCUCUCCUCACAGAACCCCAUUUCUUAGGAUCUCGGUAAAAGAAUUAUUCUCUUGUUUUUGAAAACACAUUGGAGAAAAUUGAUUUGAACCAGCGCUGGAAACGAGAUCGACCUUAAAUAAUGACGCAACGAAAUAUGAGAAGAGCGAAAUGCUGCACAACGCUAAUACGCGCGAUUAUUUUUGUGAGAGAUUAAUACAAAUAUUUUACUUCUUUUCUUACUCCUUCAUGGCACUUUCGUGCAAUUUUGUUUUUACAAUAUUCCUAGUACUCAUAAAUACCUAUAGAUUAAUGCGCUAAACUGAAAAUACUUGGAAGCGCCAUCGAUUGUGUAAAACCGGCGCGGGAUUACGUCGGAGAGUAAUUCGAGAAGCGGAAAGUAGUUAAUUUCACUAGCGACACUAAUCGUCGGAGGGAGAAAAAGAUGUUCUCCCCGAGAAAUUCGCAUGCACCAGCUGCGGCUGCGAUUCACUCGGAAGCGGAGAAAGGAAUUAUCCAACGGUGCCAGUACAAAUAUUUGUCUGCAAACGGAUUCGCGUCAGAACGCUAAUGCGACAAGUGUCGUGCCGCCCUAUGAUGGAAUCGUUUGCACGCUAUGUAGCCGCGGCUAUGCAAAUCUGCGAUGAGCCAUCGCUUGUUGCAAACGACUCAUCCAUGUAUACGCGCAACGACGAUGACGCAGUGCCACUCGCUCGUUCACCAACGGCAACGUCUCGGCGACGUGAACACAGAAAAAGAAGUCAGCAAAUAUAUUUGCAAAAAUGAGAAAAAUUCCAACUAUAUUAAUGUACAGUUUUUUUUAUUUAUUUAAAUAUAAUCCUAAAUAAAUUUGUCAAAUACAGCUCAGAAUUUUUCUAGUUUAGCAAAAGCUCCGACGAGCAAUCGUUUAUUAUAAUCGAUAUUUAUUAUAAUCAUUGUAAUCGAUCCUUCGCAAAUCCAACGCGAAUCAGCGCAGAUCAUCCGCAGGGAAGAUUCACAGAAGAAAAGGCAAAUAUAUAAUUGGAAAAAUUCCUAAUUGUAUUAACUAAUUUAUUUGCGGCUAGGAAUUUUUCUACUUUAACAAAUUUGUACGCUGUCUUUUUUCCAUAAAUUCUUGCCUGCGGAUGAUUCGCGCUAAUUCGCGUUGAUACCGCGAAGGGCGAUUAUUCGCCGGAGCUUGGCACAGGCUCGGGUUCAUUUUUCCUUUCGCCUUUCACCUUUCACGCGAUCUCAACCUUUUACCUUACAGAAAUCCACAUGGAUUUUGGAUAUCGCUGGUCGAAGUUUAUUGCCUUAGUUCUAUCAAUAAGUUGUUUCGGCCUCAUGUUCUCUUAUGGGGUAUCCCAUGUUAGAAAUUAGAAUAUUCAAUAAGGGAAUUACACGGCGGGUCGUAACGGCGGAUUAUAUAAAACUGCGUCGACGGAGAUCGUGACUCGCUAGUCGCUACCCAUUAAUCUCAUAAACAUCGCGUCUCAUAAGUGAUUACGCUUUCUAAAGCGUUACGGCGCGCGUAGCGCUUUUGUUCGUGCGCGUGUGCCUUUUAAACUAACAAAUCGACUCAAGACUUGAACAUUACUUCAAUCAAACGACGAACUUGUGUUUUUCCUUAAUUUGCCGAUUACGUGACGAUUGUGUGAUAAUGCACGUGCGAACUGUCUUGUAUCUCUUAUAUUAUUCAUGAAAAUGCAAGAUGUGCAUAUUUGAUGCUGCUAAUAUUUAUUUUUAAGCUCCAGUGCUUCUCAAGACAUCUGCAAAUUAAAAAUCGAAUAUUCGAAUUUCAUUUCUUGUCUUCACAUUCGAACAUGCCGCGGCCGUCUAUUCUUUUAAAAUAUCACACGCGCGAUUACAACUUUCGCUUUUUGAGAUGCAUGUCAAUUUUGCGCACGGUAUCAGCGAGAUCCUCAAUUUAAAAAGUUGUGAAAGUUUGAACUGUAACCUACGUCGGCGGACUCGUGGUCAGUCGGGUGAUAGUCACGCGGCGGUUGUACGGUAAUUGCGCGAACAAGCGGCUAAUCAAGCUCUCCGCGGUAUAACUAAUUACUCGAUCGUUUAAUGUAUAUUCGAGAAGGAACCGUGCGCGGCAGAAGCGCGCGUAACACGGUAACGAUUAUGGAAGGCGUGAUGUAACGUUUUUCUUGACUGACUAAUCAAUCGCGCACCUCAAAGAGAAACGACCGGAGGAAUCUUCCGCUCCUCCCCUCCGUUUCUUUUUAAGGAAUCAAAAUAAAUAUUAUAUACUAGAACUGGCUGAUUAAAAAUCUCAAUCCUAAUUUCCACACUGAAAUCUAUUAAGAAUAUUGUAACUGCAAAUUGAAGUAAACCAUGAAGCUAAACUUCAAAAAAAUUCGCGUAAGUUUUCGUAAAAAUUGCAAAAGUAAUUCAGCACUCGGUCUUCGGACACAAUACACAGAUCGAGCGUGCGAGGAAACAUCCUACGCGAGAAGCAUCCUGGCGGAACUGGAGGCGAGAACGGUGCUAGUAAAACGCAGUCGAAUCACUGAAUGCAACUGGUCAAGAGGAAGUUUCUCGGGAAUUAGAAAAAGGUACGACGUGGAGAACGAUGUCGUCGAAAAGAGGAAGAGGACCGGUGCGACCAGAGAUGAGAAGCACGGGCGAAAGUCAAGCUCGCAAAGUCCUCUUCGUCCCGCGCGACUCCGCGAUGUUAAUACAUCCGAGAAACUCGGAUGCACGCGAGACGUGACUCGGAGGACCCGGCAACGUCAUCCGAGUCAUCGAGAUCGAUGGUCGCGCUCUCCGAUCACCCUGUUCAUGAUCGAGGAAGUCAAAAUCAUUGAACGCGAGGAGUUGCAAUGAUGAGAGGAUCUCAAAGUCGUUUGUACCGAACACAAAUUUGCGCACGCGGAAAAUCGGUGACUCGUGGAUUAUUUUAUAAGUUGAGAAUUGAUUUUGAUAACGAGUGACUUGGUAUGAUUAUCGGAUGCAUAAGAUGAUUGAACGAAAGCGUAGUCUGGGACUAACUUGGAAUCAAAGAGGAAAACAAAUUUGGAUGUUUUCUAAUAAGGGAUUCUUUAGUUUGUUCUAUAUAAUAUAUACUAAUAGAAAAGAUUUGAAAUUAUUAAUAUUUUUUUGUUUUCGGAUGAUAAUACAGGACUUUUGAUGUAUUAUUGCAUACUGAAAUGUUGGUAUUUCCUUUUUUUUCACUGCACGCAGAUAAAAUCACCUAGGCAAAUAAAACGUGAGAGGCGGAGACUUAGUGCGAGAUUUUAUGGAUGUCAAGAUUGAUGAUGACCCCCGUAAAU